UACGUAGGGUCCGAGCGUUGUCCGGAGUUACUGGGCGUAAAGCGCGUGUAGGCGGCUGGGUAGGUCCGCUGUGAAAACUCGAGGCUCAACCUCGAGACGUCGGCGGAAACCAUCCAGCUAGAGUCCGGAAGAGGAGAGUGGAAUUCCUGGUGUAGCGGUGAAAUGCGCAGAUAUCAGGAAGAACACCCGUGGCGAAAGCGGCUCUCUGGGACGGUACUGACGCUGAGACGCGAAAGCGUGGGGAGCGAACAGG
RNAcentral lists this ribosomal RNA (253 nucleotides) under uncultured bacterium. Its description in RNAcentral is "partial 16S ribosomal RNA". It matches the Rfam family "Bacterial small subunit ribosomal RNA", at positions 524 to 776 of the family's 1533-position model. The record is from RNAcentral.